UACGUAGGCAGCAAGCGUUGUUCGGAGUUACUGGGCGUAAAGCGUGCGUAGGUGGUUUGUUAAGUCUGUUGUGAAAGCCCCGGGCUCAACCUGGGAAUGGCAAUGGAUACUGGCAAGCUAGAGUGCGGUAGAGGGUAGUGGAAUUCCCGGUGUAGCGGUGAAAUGCGUAGAGAUCGGGAGGAACACCAGUGGCGAAGGCGGCUACCUGGACCAGCACUGACACUGAGGCACGAAAGCGUGGGGAGCAAACAGG
This 253-nucleotide ribosomal RNA is filed under the name uncultured bacterium. Its description in RNAcentral is "partial 16S ribosomal RNA". It matches the Rfam family "Bacterial small subunit ribosomal RNA", at positions 524 to 776 of the family's 1533-position model. The record is from RNAcentral.